CUUCCAAUACUGAUUCCAUGGCCAGGUCCGCAAGCAACAUUUUCAGCCCAUAAAUUAGUGGUGCCAGGGCCAACUGAUACACAAUCAUCACCUGUACCAAUCUUGGAAUUCAAGAUUGUGACACCAGUUGAUGAUUCAACAUGAAUACCAUCAGUGUUCGGGCUAUCGCCAGGGGCAGAGACUCUCACAUUUUGUACUUUCACAUUCUGGCAGCCGUUGAUGACAAUGUGAAACUUCUGGCUAUCUUGUGAUGCUAAUCCAUUGAUUUCAAUAUUAUUGGAAUUGGAAAAUUCUAUUGACGUUGCUCCUUCGGGGCAACUCUUGUCGGAGGCUUUGCAUGACCACAAGCCAGUGCCUUGACCGUCCA
Molecule: unclassified non-coding RNA, 367 nt
Filed under: Hevea brasiliensis (rubber tree)
Lineage: Eukaryota; Viridiplantae; Streptophyta; Magnoliopsida; Malpighiales; Euphorbiaceae
Source: RNAcentral